GGUUUAAUUCGAUGCUACACGAAGAACCUUACCAGGGCUUGACAUGUUAGAAGUAGGGACCCGAAAGGGCGACGGCCUGUACCCAGUCAGGAGCUUUCACAGGUGCUGCAUGGUUGUCGUCAGCUCGUGUCGUGAGAUGUACGGUUAAGUCCGUGAACGAGCGCAACCCCUGCCCUUAGUUGCUAAUAUGCGAAAGCAUAUGCACUCUAAGGGGACCGCCAGCGGAAAGCUGGAGGAAGUGGGAUGACGUCAAAUCCUCAUGGCCUUUAUGUCCAGGGCUACACACAUGCGACAAUGGUCGAGACAACGCGUUGCAAACCAGUAAUGGUAAGCUAAUCGCAUAAAAUCGACCUCAGUACGGAUUGAGGGUUGCAAUUCACCCUCAUGAAGAUGGAGUUGCUAGUAACCGCAGGUCAGCUAUACUGCGAUGAAUACGUUCCCGGGGCUU
Molecule: ribosomal RNA, 448 nt
Filed under: uncultured Caldisericum sp.
Lineage: Bacteria; Pseudomonadati; Caldisericota; Caldisericia; Caldisericales; Caldisericaceae
Description: bacterial SSU rRNA
Rfam family: Bacterial small subunit ribosomal RNA
Source: RNAcentral